UCAAACUACUGAUUUUGUAUUGUUAGUUCAUUGAAGACUAAGUACCAAUCAGAAAAAUUAGUAAAAGAUUUUAAAGAGCCACAACAUGAAAUUUUUUUAUAUUUUUUUAUGACAAAAAUGUACUCAAUAUAUCGAGUCAUGCAAUUGUUGAAUGUAAAAUUAUGGCUUCCUGUUAUAAGGUUGCUUUAUCACAGUUAUAAACGUCAGACACUGCAUUUUGAAUUUUGAUGAGCAUUGAUUUUUUUAAGUCAGAUUUGCCAAUAUCGUUUGUUUUAUAGAUAUUUAGAUAUGCCAAACUUUGCCAUUAAUUAUUAUGAUUUUUUUCUUGCUUAAGUAGACAUGUUGUCGCGGUUGGCAUUCAGACUGUUUUGUUGCUGUCUCCCACUUGUUCUUUUAAAAUAUCAAACAUAUUCAAUAUUUUUUUCAAUUUUUCUGGCUAUAGAAAAAGUUCAGAUUCAUUGAAUUGAAAGCAGAUCUUGAACAUGUGAUUCGUCCAACUCUGGUUAACUCUAGUUGAAAGGUCAGUGCAAUGCGCAUGUGCUCAACCGUUCCGAAUCGAAGUCAAACUCUUCCAUCGAGUUGACUAUUUAUAAUGGAGGUGAAAAAAAUUGUUUUUCUGCUGGCAUUAAAUAAAAAAAUAUUACAUAGUGUUUCACAAAGAAAGUCCUGAUCCUGUUUGCUUUUGAAAAAUAGUUUGUUAGUGAGUUCAAAAAAAAAAAUGAAAAAAAAUCGUUCAAAGAAAAACUAUUAAUUUCUAUUUUAUUUCUAACCACCACGACCAGUGAUAAUAAUCCUCAUCAAGAUACCUAGGAUAAAAAUUAAUAUUUAACGCCUAGGACGCGCGUUUCGUUACAAAAGACUCAUCAGUUACGCUCGAAUCAAAAAAUGUAUAAAAGGUCAAAUAAAUACGAAGUUGAAGAGAUUUGAGGACCAAAUAUACACAUGAACAAUAAUUGGCUGAUUCCGAAACACAUGAAAUAAUAAAUUCCCCUUGUUCAGCUUUUUCUUCGAGCUGUGUUUUUGUCAAAUACCAAGUUUAUUUGUAUCACUUUUAUUUGUGCAACUACUUGACGCCAUCUUGAAAUCGAUAAACCUGCCCCAACCAGGUUGAUGUCGCAGAUAACUCGGGUAGGUUCAAAGAUCAAACUCGGGGGGGGGGGGGGGGGGUUGUUGUCAGUCGAUAAACUCGAUAGACUCUACUUAACCCAAGUUGGACGAAUGAAGUAGGCCUGGAAGAUCUGAAGUCAUAUGAAUUCUGAACCUAACCAGACAUUUU
This 1276-nucleotide long non-coding RNA is filed under the name Mytilus galloprovincialis (Mediterranean mussel). The record is from RNAcentral. Lineage: Eukaryota; Metazoa; Mollusca; Bivalvia; Mytilida; Mytilidae.